UAAUACUGAGGGUGCAAGCGUUAAUCGGAAUUACUGGGCGUAAAGCGAGUGUAGGCGGCUACCUAAGUCGGAUGUGAAAGCCCUGGGCUCAACCUGGGAAUUGCAUUCGAAACUGAGUAGCUAGAGUUUGGUAGAGGUAAGUGGAAUUCCGGGUGUAGCGGUGAAAUGCGUAGAUAUCCGGAGGAACAUCAGUGGCGAAGGCGGCUUACUGGACCAAAACUGACGCUGAGGCUCGAAAGCGUGGGGAGCAAACAGGAUUAGAUACCCUGGUAGUCCACGCCCUAAACGAUGUCAACUAGUCGUUGGGCUCAUUAAGGAGCUUAGUGACGCAGCUAACGCGUUAAGUUGACCGCCUGGGGAGUACGGCCGCAAGGUUG
RNAcentral lists this ribosomal RNA (377 nucleotides) under uncultured Gammaproteobacteria bacterium. Its description in RNAcentral is "bacterial SSU rRNA". It matches the Rfam family "Bacterial small subunit ribosomal RNA", at positions 521 to 896 of the family's 1533-position model. Lineage: Bacteria; Pseudomonadati; Pseudomonadota; Gammaproteobacteria. The record is from RNAcentral.